Molecule: transfer RNA, 72 nt
Filed under: Etrocorema hochii
Lineage: Eukaryota; Metazoa; Arthropoda; Insecta; Plecoptera; Perlidae
Description: tRNA-His
Rfam family: tRNA
About the family: Transfer RNA (tRNA) molecules are approximately 80 nucleotides in length. Their secondary structure includes four short double-helical elements and three loops (D, anti-codon, and T loops).
Source: RNAcentral
AUUUAGAUAGUUUAAUUAAAAAUUUUGAUUUGUGAUGUCAAUAAUAUAGGUUUGUAAAUCCUAUUCUAGAUU